RNAcentral lists this signal recognition particle RNA (148 nucleotides) under Macaca fascicularis (crab-eating macaque). RNAcentral's name for it is "Metazoan signal recognition particle RNA (ENSMFAG00000063897.1)". It matches the Rfam family "Metazoan signal recognition particle RNA". From Rfam's summary of the family: The signal recognition particle (SRP) is a universally conserved ribonucleoprotein. The record is from Rfam by way of RNAcentral. Lineage: Eukaryota; Metazoa; Chordata; Mammalia; Primates; Cercopithecidae.
GCCAGGCAUGGUGGCGGGUGCCUGUAAUCCCAGCUACUCAGGAGGCUGAGGCAGGAGAAUCACUUGAAUCCGGGAGCUGGAGGUUGCAGUGAGCCAAGAUUGCACCACUGCACUCCAGCUCGGAUAACAGAGUGAGACUCUGUCUCAA